This 3146-nucleotide long non-coding RNA is filed under the name Homo sapiens (human). RNAcentral's name for it is "HSALNT0102970". The stretch from base 2461 to 2533 matches the Rfam family "tRNA". Lineage: Eukaryota; Metazoa; Chordata; Mammalia; Primates; Hominidae. The record is from RNAcentral.
GAUGUAUUCUGCAGCAGGAAGUGUGAUGGGCACUGACGCUGCAGAAAGACUCCUGUUGUCCACCUCGGGAGCUGACACGAUAAAUGCGGGUAAAUCUCAAUCCUUUAAUAUCUUUAUGACUUCUUUCUCUUUCUCUUCAAUUUCUAUUUUCUCAUGUUCAAGCUCUGACAUUCAAAACUAAACACCUUUCUCUAACAUGUUGCUUUAAUUAUUUAAGCAUUCUGCCUGGGAUUUUUUCAAUUACUCUUGGGAGUUUUCAUAAAACUCUACCAACAUAUCUCCAAGUGGCCAGGCUUUUCAAUCACUGCUUCCCUCCGUGUGUAUUUCACACACACACACACACACACACACACACACAGCACUUAAAUUGAACAGGUUUAUUUCUUCACACAGGAAUUCCUACGAACAGCCCGGUUUUCUCCACCAUAUGUCCACUCCUUCUCUGCAUAGCUGAAUUUUGAUUCUUACACUCUAAUAUUUUACAUAUUCUUACACUCUGAUAUGAUCUUGUCUCUUAUUCUUUAUGGCUCUGCUCUGUAAUUUUGUUGUUGUUGUUCUGAGAUAUAGUUGGACAUGUAACUUGUACAUGACACACCUUAGCAAGGAGGCAACCUAUAUCUCAGAUGCAAGUGAAAGAAGCACUCCCCAGGGGUUUCCUAAGGUAGUGGUCAGCACGCUGGCUUCAUUCCUGAAAGGGCCUAGUUAUGAAAACAACAGGAGCUUUUUGCCUUCCAGAAAUCUGUACCAUCUCAAAAUCCCCAGAGAGUCUCAGCUACAAGGAACAACUUGAAUGUGAGGCAACUGUGAAAAGUGCAGGGCAGAGCCACCUGGGUAAAUACAGCCCUGGCUUUCUGGUGAGAGGACUGAAACCAGGAUGUGUCAAGUAACUAGAAUGUGCCUGGACAGAUACUGUAGAAAGCAAACCCAUAAAGUUGUUCAUGAGCUUGUGGACGCACCUGCCAGCUGUGAAUAAGUGGGUCUAAUCCCAAACAACUUACCUAAAAAGAGCCUGAGGACUGAACUAAACAAUGGUCCACUUUCCAGUCCUCACUGACCACUGGUUGCACACACUCCAGAGAUCUCUCAUCCGCAGUGUCAAGGCUUUCAAAUAGAGUUAUCUGUGAAACAACAACACAUGGAAGUCUGGUUGGUACUUGGAGCUUAAAUACAAGGCAAUUGUGUGCCUGCAAAAACAAAAAGAGCAAUAUUAUCCUUAAGAUUUCAACAAGACACAGUGUCUCAUCACAUAAUCCAAAGAAGUCCAGGUUACAAGCCCCAAAAUAUUCAGCAUUAUGAAAAACCAGGGAGAUCUUAAUUCACAUGGCAAAGAGAAUCCUUGCAUAACAAUAUUGAGAGGACACAUAUGUCAAAAUCAUCUGACACAUACAUUAAAGCAGUUAUUAUAACAAUGCUCCUAGAAUUACGGGAUAGCAUUCAUGAAGUGAAUGGAAAGUUGGAAAGUCUCACCAAAUAUUUGGAAUAUGUAAACACCAAUUUAAACUUAAGAAUUAAAAAAAGUAUUAACCAAAACUAUUAGGGGAAAUAAAAAGCUUAAUUGGAUGAUCUCAAUAGCAGUAUGCAGAAGACUAAGGAAAAAGUCAAUGAACUUGAAAACGGAACAAGAAUACCUACAGAAUCUGACCUAUAGAAAGAAAGGAGGAUUUUAUUGUCCCUGAACAGAGGCUCAGGGACAAAUAAAAAAUAACAAAUCUAACAUUCACAUUAUUGUAAUCUGGAAACAUUCACAUUAUUGUAAGAGGACAAAGAGGUCUUUGUGGGAUAAAACUGUGAAGAAUUAAUGGCUGAAAAUGUAUCAAAUUUCUCAAAAGAUAUAAACCAGAUUUUUAAAGUUCAGUAAAUGUCAAGCAGGAUAAACCAAAAGAAACCCAUUGCAAGACAUAUCAUAAUCAAACUGCGGAAAAUUAAGAAAACACAAAACAAUUUUGAAAGCAGCCAAAGGGAAAUGAAAGAUAAAAUACCAAAUGAAUGAUUGUAGAUUUCUCAUCGGGAACCCAGGAGCCAGAAAAAAAUGUCAUAACAUUCAGUAAAUACCAAAGGAAAAAUACAUUAUCAACCCAGAAUGGUAUGUGGAGCAAAAGUAUCUUCCAGACAUAAAGGCAAAUAAAUGCAUUCUCAUUGGAAGGUAAAUAAAUACAUUCUCAGUCCUAGCAAAACUGCUGGAAAAGAAUUAGCAAAGGUUUGAGAUAAGAAAAGUGAUACCAGAAGGAAACUUAGAACAUCAUCAAUGAAGGAACAAAAGCAGAAAUAGAAAAUGUCUGGGUAGACAUAACAGACUAUUAUUCUUCUCUUGAGUUCCUUAAGACAAUGAGUAGCCACUGCUGUUUGCCCUGGCCCAUCAAUGAGAAGAUCUGCUCUUAGAGCCCUGCUUUCCUGCUGAAGGCCCUGAAAUCACCUGUGUUCCAGGCCACCUGCUAACAAUAAAUAAUGCUGCCCUGAUGUGGGGAAUUAGCUCAAGUGGUAGAGCGCUUGCUUAGCACGCAAGAGGUAGUGGGAUCGAUGCCCACAUUCUCCAAGCUUUAUUAUUUAGACAUCGUGUCUCCAAACACUCAGGUCUCCAAACCCAAGUUAGUGUCUGAGAACAGGAUGCUGCUUUGGUUCAAGACGUAGGAGCAGCAAUAAUAGAGGGCUGGUGAUGGCUCCCUCUUGGCAUUCAGUAUAGUGUAGAUCUACCAUGUAAUUAAUUCUCUGUUUCUUUGAGGAGCUGUGAAACCAAGGGACAUAUACAACUGCUCUUUUCUCCCUGUUUCUACCUGCAGCUUUGUCCUAAAUGUGAGACAAUUAUGAAAAGUGCAGCGCAGAGCCACUUGGGUAAAUACAGCCCCGGCUUUCUGCUCAGGGGACAGAGUUUGAGGCACUGCAGAGGAACCGGCCAAAGUAUGAGACCCAUAUAUUGAGAGUAACAGAGUGUAAAGUUCAAAAAAAUCAAAAUAUUUAAAGAUUUAUCAUGGGUCUUGAUGACAUGAUGGAAUCUCUCUACUCUCUGGACUUAUUAUGUGUGGUAAUAAAUUUACUUUUUAAAAGCCAGUUGAGUGUUUUUAAUGUUGUGGAGCUAUUGCUAAGAGUUUCCUGAGUUUUUUCCAGUAAUGUAGAGAUCUUUGUGCUAAAUAUUUCAUAAAGAAGUUUGG